AACUGGUUAGAUUUGAAAGAACUAGCUCUGCCAGCAAUCAGCUUCGAUUGGUUAAGUCUAGAAAAAAUAUGUUUCUGACAUGUGGCUAAUGAUCAGUCUCGUUGGCUAGACUCAAAUCAUAGUCAAAUUAGAAAAUUUUUUUCUCAUAAUUUUAUCAUAAUUAAUUUUUUAUAAAUAAACAUAUUUAUUUUUUUAUAACAGUAUCAAUUCAAAUUUUUAUAUUUUCAAAAGAGUAA
RNAcentral lists this long non-coding RNA (236 nucleotides) under Elaeis guineensis (African oil palm). Its description in RNAcentral is "long non-coding RNA (EGUI_LNC007887)". The record is from RNAcentral. Lineage: Eukaryota; Viridiplantae; Streptophyta; Magnoliopsida; Arecales; Arecaceae.